GAUGAACGCUGGCGGCGUGCCUAAUACAUGCAAGUCGAGCGAACGGACGAGAAGCUUGCUUCUCUGAUGUUAGCGGCGGACGGGUGAGUAACACGUGGAUAACCUACCUAUAAGACUGGGAUAACUUCGGGAAACCGGAGCUAAUACCGGAUAAUAUUUUGAACCGCAUGGUUCAAAAGUGAAAGACGGUCUUGCUGUCACUUAUAGAUGGAUCCGCGCUGCAUUAGCUAGUUGGUAAGGUAACGGCGUACCAAGGCAACGAUGCAUAGCCGACCUGAGAGGGUGAUCGGCCGCACUGGAACUGAGACACGGUCCAGACUCCUACGGGAGGCCGCAGUCGGGAAUCUUACGCAAUGGGCGAAAGCCUGACGGAGCAAGGCCGCGUGAGUGGUGAAGGUCUUCGGAUCGUAAAACUCUGUUAUUAGGGAAGAACAUAUGUGUAAGUAACUGUGCACAUCUUGACGGUAACUAAUCAGAAAGCAACGGCUAACUACGUG
RNAcentral lists this ribosomal RNA (497 nucleotides) under uncultured bacterium. RNAcentral describes it as "partial 16S ribosomal RNA". It matches the Rfam family "Bacterial small subunit ribosomal RNA", at positions 28 to 507 of the family's 1533-position model. The record is from RNAcentral.